AGGAAAUUCAUGCCUAGUAGAAGC
Molecule: non-coding RNA, 24 nt
Filed under: Arabidopsis thaliana (thale cress)
Lineage: Eukaryota; Viridiplantae; Streptophyta; Magnoliopsida; Brassicales; Brassicaceae
Source: RNAcentral